CCUACGGUGGGCAGCAGUGGGGAAUAUUGCACAAUGGGGGAAACCCUGAUGCAGCGACGCCGCGUGAGCGAUGAAGUAUUUCGGUAUGUAAAGCUCUAUCAGCAGGGAAGAAAAUGACGGUACCUGACUAAGAAGCCCCGGCUAACUUCGUGCCAGAAGCCGCGGUAAUACGUAGGGGGCCAGCGUUAUCCGGAUUUACUGGGUUGAAAGGGGGUGUAGACGGUCCUGCAAGCCAGGUGUGAAAGCCCGGGGCUCAACCCCGGAACUGCAUUUGGAACUGUAAGGCUGGAGUGUCGGAGAGGCAGGCGGAAUUCGUAGUGUAGCGGUGAAAUGCGUAGAUAUUAGGAGGAACGCCAGUGGCGAAGGCGGCCUGCUGGACGAUGACUGACGUUGAGGCUCGAAAGCGUGGGGAGCAAACAGGAUUAGAUACCCCUGUAGUC
This 440-nucleotide ribosomal RNA is filed under the name uncultured bacterium. RNAcentral's name for it is "partial 16S ribosomal RNA". It matches the Rfam family "Bacterial small subunit ribosomal RNA", at positions 338 to 795 of the family's 1533-position model. The record is from RNAcentral.